CUCUGUAUGAAUGUACUUCUUAAAUGAAGGCAAGUGUUUGUCCUUUUUUGUUCCUCAGUUACAGUACGUGAUAUCUUGAUAUCAGGCGGUCAACACUGGGGGAAGACAAGAAGCAGACGUACUUCCAAGAGGGAGCUGCAGUGAGGACACAGCCAGGUCACUGAGAGAGUUCCUGAGAGAAGAAAGCUCCUGCAAGAUGUGACCAUCCCCCCCACCAGUUGAAGAGCCCCCCAGGCGGCUCGAUGCACCGGCGGCACCCUGCUCCAGGGCCGGGCCCCCAUGCACCCACCCGCCCACAACCCCGGCAACACACCAACCAGGACCCGAGCCCCCGAGGCCCGGCCCGGGCCCCAGCCCAGAGACGGAGCGCCCCCAGAACCUCACGCCCAUCCCGGACCCACCCAGGGGCAGCCAGGUUGCCAGGAGGCGCUGGAAGGUUUCCCUAAUAGUUCCUGGUGAA
Molecule: long non-coding RNA, 460 nt
Organism: Astatotilapia calliptera (eastern happy)
Lineage: Eukaryota; Metazoa; Chordata; Actinopteri; Cichliformes; Cichlidae
Source: Ensembl